GGGUCAAUGACGAGAACUCCACUCUUGAAGAGAGGUGAUGACUGAAAAAUUGUAUCUAAAAUGUUCACGCUGAGGCCC
This is a small nucleolar RNA of Artibeus jamaicensis (Jamaican fruit-eating bat), 78 nucleotides long. RefSeq annotates it as small nucleolar RNA SNORD115. The transcript has a single exon. The record is from RefSeq and is a predicted model, not a curated record. NCBI's taxonomy places the organism in Eukaryota, Metazoa, Chordata, Mammalia, Chiroptera, Phyllostomidae.